CCUACGGGGGGCAGCAGUGGGGAAUAUUGGACAAUGGGGGGAACCCUGAUCCAGCCAUGCCGCGUGUGUGAAGAAGGCCCUCGGGUUGUAAAGCACUUUCAGUGAGGAAGAACGCCUGGUGGUUAAUACCCAUCAGGAAAGACAUCACUCACAGAAGAAGCACCGGCUAACUCCGUGCCAGCAGCCGCGGUAAUACGGAGGGUGCGAGCGUUAAUCGGAAUUACUGGGCGUAAAGCGCGCGUAGGUGGCUUGAUAAGCCGGUUGUGAAAGCCCCGGGCUCAACCUGGGAACGGCAUCCGGAACUGUCAAGCUAGAGUGCAGGAGAGGAAGGUAGAAUUCCCGGUGUAGCGGUGAAAUGCGUAGAGAUCGGGAGGAAUACCAGUGGCGAAGGCGGCCUUCUGGACUGACACUGACACUGAGGUGCGAAAGCGUGGGUAGCAAACAUGAUUAGAUACCCUGGUAGUC
Molecule: ribosomal RNA, 465 nt
Filed under: Vreelandella stevensii
Lineage: Bacteria; Pseudomonadati; Pseudomonadota; Gammaproteobacteria; Oceanospirillales; Halomonadaceae
Description: partial 16S ribosomal RNA
Rfam family: Bacterial small subunit ribosomal RNA
Source: RNAcentral